This 839-nucleotide long non-coding RNA is filed under the name Phoenix dactylifera (date palm). RNAcentral's name for it is "long non-coding RNA (PDAC_LNC017729)". Lineage: Eukaryota; Viridiplantae; Streptophyta; Magnoliopsida; Arecales; Arecaceae. The record is from RNAcentral.
UAAAUAAAUAAAUAAAGAAAGGAGGUGGUUUACGGGUAUGAACCCGAACUCGAGGUGCUAGGCACUUCUGCAGGGUCAACCAUGGGAGGAUAUUAAAAUUUAAGUUUUUGUAUAUAUAUAUUGUGAUGAAUUUUAAAAGAAGAAUAUGAUUUUUGGAUAUUAGGUUCUGCAAAAGAUUUACAUAAUUAAUUGGAUUUUUUGUGGAUCACAUUCGCAAGAUAAGUAAUAUAACCUCUUUACUAGAUUUAUCGGCAAACUAUGUAUGUUUUACGAAUCGAAUUAUUUGUGAUUACGAAUUUGAUGCAUGGGUUAUAUGUAUAUUUUUAAAAUAUUGUAUGACUUUGAUUGAACGUAUUUGCUUCUGAUUUGGAUCGUGUUCGAUUGCUCUGACAUUGUACCUUUCGGCUUGAAACACUGAAUAUAAUGUGAGAAAAGAUAAUGACUUGAAAUAGAUUCAGGCUCGCAGACGGGCUAUGUUGAGGACCCUGCCAAUAGGGGCUAAUACAUUGGUACCGCAAGAAAAUUAGUCGGUGAUAUGACCGUGCCACAAGGAACAUGUGGUCAUAGUUUCUGGCUAUUGAGUUGAAUCUGAUAAAUUGAAAGAAAUUAAGAUAUUAACGAUAUUUGGUUUUGACACUGCAUACUUUUAUAACUGAAAUAUGAAAUAGAGAACUAAUUGAACUUCGACCUGGCUAUAUUGAGAACCCCGCCAAUGGGGGCAGAUACGUUAGCAAUUGACUGUUCUGAAGGACUCACCGCAAGAAAAUUAGACGGUGUUGAUGACCCUGCCACAGGAAACAUGUGGUCAUAGUCCAGGAUCGACAAGAUGAAUUGAAUAU